UACGUAGGGGGCAAGCGUUGUCCGGAAUCACUGGGCGUAAAGCGUCUGUAGGUGGUGAUGCAAGUCACUGGUGCAAAACUCUGGCUCAACCGGAGGAAAGCCAGUGAAACUGCAUGACUAGAGUGUGGGAGAGGUAGAAGGAAUUCCAUGAGUAGCGGUGAAAUGCGUAGAUACAGGGAAGAACACCGGAGGCGAAAGCGUUCUACUGGAACACAACUGACACUGAGAGAAGAAAGCUAGGGGAGCGAAUGGG
RNAcentral lists this ribosomal RNA (253 nucleotides) under uncultured bacterium. Its description in RNAcentral is "partial 16S ribosomal RNA". It matches the Rfam family "Bacterial small subunit ribosomal RNA", at positions 524 to 776 of the family's 1533-position model. The record is from RNAcentral.